Molecule: ribosomal RNA, 443 nt
Filed under: uncultured Lachnospiraceae bacterium
Lineage: Bacteria; Bacillati; Bacillota; Clostridia; Lachnospirales; Lachnospiraceae
Description: bacterial SSU rRNA
Rfam family: Bacterial small subunit ribosomal RNA
Source: RNAcentral
CCUACGGGAGGCAGCAGUGGGGAAUAUUGCACAAUGGGGGAAACCCUGAUGCAGCGACGCCGCGUGAAGGACGAAGGUUUUCGGAUCGUAAACUUCUAUCAGCAGGGAAGAAGAAAGUGACUGUACCUGACUAAGAAGCCCCGGCUAACUACGUGCCAGCAGCCGCGGUAAUACGUAGGGGGCAAGCGUUAUCCGGAAUCACUGGGUGUAAAGGGUGCGUAGGCGGUAGGGCAAGUCAGAUGUGAAAGCCCGGGGCUCAACUCCGGGAUUGCAUUUGAAACUGUCUUACUAGAGUGCAGGAGAGGAAAGCGGAAUUCCUAGUGUAGCGGUGAAAUGCGUAGAUAUUAGGAAGAACACCAGUGGCGAAGGCGGCUUUCUGGACUGUAACUGACGCUGAGGCACGAAAGCGUGGGGAGCGAACAGGCUUAGAUACCCCUGUAGUC